This is a non-coding RNA of Microcebus murinus (gray mouse lemur), 4439 nucleotides long. The record is from RefSeq and is a predicted model, not a curated record. Lineage: Eukaryota; Metazoa; Chordata; Mammalia; Primates; Cheirogaleidae.
UCUGGUUCUCCGGCCAAGUUCUGUCCUAGCGCUGGAGGUGGUGAGCACGAAAAGACAUGACCGUGGGCGGCCUCAGUCAAGGCAGGCUUGAUGGAGUUUAUUCGAGAACAGCAAGCCAGUCAUCCACGAGGAUCUGAGGGAAUGAGACAUUGGGCAGUACUGGAAAUAAAUGACACUGAAUUUUCUCCUUUUUCUUUCCAAGACUUUCAGCUGAACUCUCAUCUCUCAACACUGGCAAAUAUUCAUAAGAUCUAUCACACCCUUAAUAAGCUAAAUCUAACAGAAGACGUUGGCCAAGACGAUCACCAAACAGGAAGUCUGCGGUCUUGCAGUUCUUCAGGCUGCUUUAGUAAAGCGAUGCCACCAAGGAAAAAGAGAAGACCCGCCUCUGGAGAUGAUUUAUCUGCCAAGAAAAGUAGACACGAUAGCAUGUAUAGAAAAUAUGAUUCAACUAGAAUAAAGACUGAAGACGAAGCCUUUUCAAGUAAGAGGUGCUUAGAAUGGUUCUAUGAAUAUGCAGGUACUGAUGAUGUUGUAGGUCCUGAAGGCAUGGAGAAAUUUUGUGAAGACAUUGGUGUUGAACCCGAAAAUGUAGUUAUGCUUGUCCUAGCUUGGAAAUUGGAUGCACAAAACAUGGGUUAUUUUACUCUACAGGAAUGGUUAAAAGGAAUGACCUCGCUACAAUGUGAUACAACAGAAAAACUCAGAAAUACUUUGGAUUACUUAAGAUCAUUAUUAAAUGAUUCUACAAACUUUAAACUUAUUUACAGAUAUGCGUUUGACUUUGCACGGGCGGAAGAUGGUGUCAGUGCUUGCGGGCUGCCGGCUGGCACCCUUGCCGAGCAGGAGUCAGUGAGUGAGUGCUGCCCAGCUUCCCCGUCCCGAGAAGGACCAGCGCAGCCUAGACAUAAACACUGCCAAGUGCAUGUUGGGACUGUUAUUAGGAAAAAUCUGGCCCCUUUUUCCAGUUUUUCACCAAUUCUUAGAGCAAUCAAAAUACAAAGUUAUUAAUAAAGACCAGUGGUGCAAUGUCCUAGAGUUUAGCAGAACGAUUAACCUUGACCUCAGCAACUACGACGAAGACGGCGCGUGGCCAGUUUUGUUGGACGAGUUCGUGGAGUGGUAUAAAGACAAACAGAUGUCCUAGGACGGUCUGCACGGCAGCGAGAGAGUCACUGUUACCAGUUCUGUCACCCAUUAGCCAUAAAUUGCUGUUUGUACCCAAGCGCAUGCUGCUUUUCUUGCACUGUCUCCCCUCGCAGGGACGUUUUGGUGUUUGCUAGCGAACGGGCCAGCUCUGCUUGCUGUGUGGCAUUGUUCUCUUGGAAGGCUGCCUUUGCGGCCUGUAUUUACACUACAGAUUGGUGAACUUGCCAACGUCCUCACUGUGAUGAUCUGUAUAUUGCUGUUUAAAUUUUGUAUAUGUGUAUAAAAAGAAAAAGCUUCACCUAGAGAUUAUUUCUUCAAAAAUGUAUUGUAAAAAUAAUUUUGUGGCAUAUUUCUAGUCCCUUUUUUCAAACGAACCAAUCAUCCUCUAUCCGGUCUCAAACGUAGCAUCUCAGCGAAGAAGACAAAACAACUGUUACCUGAGUAAACAUUGCCAGAGUUAACCUUACUGUCCGAGAGGCCAACUUUUUGGUAGGAGGUGGGAGUCUUCACUUUUCAGAGGCAAAUGCCAAAUGUAAUUUGGUUUACUCAACAAUAUUAGCGUUUUAAAAUGGCGAAAGUUAUAAUUAUUUCAGCAUGUAGACAUGGUGACAUGCCACAAAUCAUUUCUACCAUGCAAGGUAUAGUUUUUUUGUUUUUUAAUGGUAAAACUAUAGUAGCUUGAAUAUAGGUACAAAUGAACAAAUUCAAAUUGCACCUUUUUUUUUUUUAAUGGGGUUUAAAUUCCUGUAAACAUUCUUUAAUGGUUUUUCUCUUUUUCUUUUUUUCCCCUUUUGCCUUCUUCUAGCCAGUGUCUGCUCCGCUGGUGCUCUGUGCCACUCUGCGUAAAGUCAUUUUGCCUCCUCGUGAAAACCUCAUGGUUUGCUGGCAAUUUAUAAAUGCAAAGCACUUUUAGUGGCGGUUUGAAUUUUUAGUUCAGCUUUUAUGGUGUCUAAUUUCUAGUUUUUUGAAAAAAGAACCAUACUACGAGUGAGAGGUGUUUUGUUUUGUUCUGUUUUGUUUUCCUUGUUCGUUUCUGUCACGCUGGGCUUUUCCUGGCAGCAAGUCCAUUGCAGGCAGUGGACACGUAACCACCAGCAUCGAGAUGACCCAGUUCUUGCUAGGACCUGUCUUGGAGGGGCCACUUGUCAUUACCCGAGUCAUUUGUACAGAAGGGGGACAGCCAUUAUUUAUGUGGAUGAGGAAACAAGAGUAUACAAGAUGGUGUUUUUAGGUUUGUAUUUUAUGUCUUUCUCCUUUUUUGGCCUUACCCUUCUUGAGGAAAUGUAGAGAUAACAUGUUUUCACCCCAACUACCUGGUGCUAUUGAAUGAUACUGAUUCAGUCCCUAAAGUUCUGUGAAAACACAACAGUCUAAUGAUUUGACCAAAUAAAGAGCUAAUGGUGCGUUUGAACGAGUGGAUGCUGUAGUUGUCAACAAGAUCCUUGAUUGAGCACGUGAUGAUUGGAGGAAGUUUGGAUUUUUUGGAAAUCUGGCCAAGAAAUCUUCUGGAUGACAUGUGAGCCUUUCAAUGGCAUUAACUGAGUAAAGCACACAGACAAUGCUACUCUUGACCACUGUUACGGUUUCUUUGCAAACAGUGUUCAGAUUUUCAUAUUAUUUUUUUUUCCCUAACUGAACCACCAAAGACAGAAAUUUUGUAUGUAUAUACAGUGUGUGUGCAUAUACAAAAUCAUGAUAUGGUAGAAUGCAACUACUUUUUUUUUUUUUUUUUCCUACCAAAUAGAAAGAUUUGGUUUGCUGUGAAAUAAACCAGAAGUUUUAAAAACUCUGUAGUGAUUAAGCAUACUUAACCAUUCCUUGUCUGUAGACUGACUUUUAACCUUACAAAUUAAUACCAGUUUGCAGAAAUUAAUAUCUGAAAAGAGCAGAAAGUGUUGAUGGCAAGCAACAGCCAGCGAGACUCGCGUAGCGGAUGCGUGUGUAUUGCAGUGGUUGGUGACUGGCUGUAGGCAGGCUGGCAUCUGUAGAGAAGUGAUUCAUUUUUUAAAAGUCCCCCCAUAAAGUUUAAAAAUAUAUAUAUAUAUCACACUCUAAAGGCAAUGGUUUUAAAUUUGAUCAACUGUAGUUUUGUUUAAAGCAAAUACAAAUCAUAGGUAAAAUUAUUUUAAAUGUUAUGUUAGAAUCUGGAGAAUUUUUUUUUCAACACUGAGCACAGUUAAUCCUCAGAUGAAAGAAUUGUUACAAGGGGAGAUGUUCCAUUUCAUCCACAGUGAACAUUUUGAUGACGGGAGAAAAACUCAAGUGAAAGCUAUUUCACGAUGUGUGAUGUGAAAGUGAGUAUUCCAAAGAGAUAAUCUCGCAUAUUUAGACAACUCCAAAUAAUCCUUCAGCUGCCUUGAAAAAUAAACCUCUGUGACUACUGAUGGCAGAUUGCUUGCCCUUGGUUUUCUUGAUUCUAUGUAGUUGUUUUUAAGGGGAGAAAAAAAGAGUUGGACAGAAUAUUAAGAUGCAUUUUCUUAGGAAUUGUCCUAAGUUACACAAAAAGCUGAACCGUCACCGACAGCUUAUCUACUUGCUAGUGUUAAGUAAAUUAGGGUGCCUUCUGCUGGUUUUUCUUCAGUACUGAAGUCUACACCCUCUCUCUCCAUUGUGUUCUGAACGCCACGUGGCAAUACUCUGUCGUAAUGGAGUACAACUUCUAGAUGUUCGCUGCUGCGGUAGGUCAUACAUUUCAUUAUUUGAUUUGCCACAAAUGUCCACCGUAAUAUUACGUGCACCUUCUUUGAAGCAUGAACUCUCAAUUACAUUUUUAUAAAUCCGACUAGACAAACCUCUAGAUUCUGGCUUAACAACAGAUUUCUUUUGCCUCUCGGUCUCAAUUUUAACAGUGCUUUUGAAGUUUAUACAGAAAGCUUUAAAAGUUAGUUUGUGCCCUUGGUUUUUGUUCUCACAACUGCUAAAAUACCUCUGUAAGCCUUAUCCUUUUAUUCUUUCGAAUGUUGUAUAAUAAAUGUAUAGAAUUCAUUGACCAACUAAAAUGUUGGGUGUCUGUAAAUGAGACCAAAAUGUGGGUUGCUUUUUUUCAUAAAGUAAUUUCUAUUGAGGGUUACUGUUAAAUGAACAGCAGCUAACCUGUAACUGUGAAUGCUUCGUGUCGUCAGUAUUUGCAUUACAUUCAUAAAAGUGUGCAAGUCCUGUGACUCCCAGCUUAACUAAAAUGAUGUUAUUAUGCCACCUAACUUGAGUACAGCAAACUGGUUUUAGGUUUUAAUGGAAUCGAUGUAAAAUGAUAGCCCAUAAAUAAAAAGUAUUUGUGUUUGGUUUCAGAA